RNAcentral lists this long non-coding RNA (1185 nucleotides) under Felis catus (domestic cat). RNAcentral's name for it is "lncRNA (ENSFCAG00000048691.1)". The record is from RNAcentral. Lineage: Eukaryota; Metazoa; Chordata; Mammalia; Carnivora; Felidae.
AUGCAUUACCCAAGCUCUCUGACACAGAAGAGAAGGGGUGCAGAGGAGAAGUGUCUUGUGCGGUACUGCUCGGGCUGGGGUUCCCUCCUGCCCCACAGCUGGACCUCGGCCGGGGCCCUCCUACCCCACCCCUUCCCAGGAGUCACGUGGCCGGGAAAGCCUGCAGCCCCGCACCCCUCCAGACGUCUCCGCAGGACAGCCCGGGAAACCGCCCCUCCUGUGGGCGGAGGUCCCCGAUCCCCCGAGGACCCCUCCCCUCAGCAAUGGCUUUCCCAGGUCUUCCGGCGGCAGGGCCUUCCCCCAGAAGGAAGUCUCCUCGGUCGCAGGGAAAGUUCUCGAGCUGCAGGAGUCCCCGGCGGCCUGGGCCUGUCCCCGCGUCCCCCCCCCCCCCCACCCCACCCUCCCGCUCUCCCGCCGCAGCCCCCUCCCCUCGAGCUCCCGCGCGGUGGAGCCAGGCUGCCCCGGAAGGAUCUGACCGGCCACUUCCUGCAAUUGUGUCUCUGGACGGAGUCCUCGGGCGUCCAGCGCUCCCAGUCUCCCCCCGGAGCCCGGGUCUCUCACGUCCCCGCCCCGUUCGCCGCCCGCGGCAGUCCCUCCGCUCCCCUCCCGGCAGCCGGCAGCUCGGCCGGGCGUGCGUGGUUACCGGGGCAACCGGCCCGGCCGGCGUGCGUAGUUACCGGGGCAACGGGGCGCGUUGGGGGUGGGGGGGGGCCGGGGGCUGAGCUCGCGCUCGCGGAGAACCCGAUCGGCUGCGCCUCAAGCGGCGGGCCGGGGGCGCAGAACCGCGAGGGGAGUCACCGCACCAGGCGAAGUGGGGGGACGGCGCUGGCUCCUUCCUCACCCCGGACCGCCGCUGCCCUGAACACAGCCCGCCCGCCCGCCCUCCAGGUCCCGCGGGUCGUGGACUCCGGGAAGAGGCUCUGGGAGCUCGGAGGAGGGGCCUGUCUGCGCCUGAUGGAUGGCACUGAAGCAAUGUCUGGCACUUUCCUUCCUCGCGGGGGAGGCGAAGCUUCGGCCACCUCUCCCCCGCGUUCGUUCGCAUUCCUGCCCGCCUGCUCAGGAAGGGCUAGGGGUGGGCGGCUGGAGCAGGGCCAGCUGAGGCUCGCUUUGCACACUACCAUUCACAUUUGUCUACACUGGCAUGGGAGUGGAGGGGCGGGUGGACAGUCCCCAAAUCUCAACUGA